CCUACGGGAGGCAGCAGUGGGGAAUUUUGGACAAUGGGCGCAAGCCUGAUCCAGCAAUGCCGCGUGAGUGAAGAAGGCCUUCGGGUUGUAAAGCUCUUUUGUCAGGGAAGAAACGGUGUUUUCUAAUACAGAAUGCUAAUGACGGUACCUGAAGAAUAAGCACCGGCUAACUACGUGCCAGCAGCCGCGGUAAUACGUAGGGUGCAAGCGUUAAUCGGAAUUACUGGGCGUAAAGCGUGCGCAGGCGGUUUUGUAAGUCUGUCGUGAAAUCCCCGGGCUCAACCUGGGAAUGGCGAUGGAGACUGCAAGGCUAGAAUCUGGCAGAGGGGGGUAGAAUUCCACGUGUAGCAGUGAAAUGCGUAGAUAUAUGGAGGAACACCGAUGGCGAAGGCAGCCCCCUGGGCUAAGAUUGACGCUCAUGCACGAAAGCGUGGGGAGCAAACAGGAUUAGAUACCCUGGUAGUCCACGCCCUAAACGAUGUCUACUAGUUGUCGGGUCUUAAUUGACUUGGUAACGCAGCUAACGCGUGAAGUAGACCGCCUGGGGAGUACGGUCGCGAAGAUUAAAAACUCAAAAUGAAAUUGACGG
Molecule: ribosomal RNA, 589 nt
Filed under: uncultured bacterium
Lineage: Bacteria
Description: bacterial SSU rRNA
Rfam family: Bacterial small subunit ribosomal RNA
Source: RNAcentral